This is an unclassified non-coding RNA of Panthera pardus (leopard), 81 nucleotides long. The record is from Ensembl. NCBI's taxonomy places the organism in Eukaryota, Metazoa, Chordata, Mammalia, Carnivora, Felidae.
AAGGACCCCAGGGCUGGGACCCCGGCCUGGCCCUCCUCUGGGCGGCCUCGGGAAUUUAGAUUCGAAAAGAGCUUCCGGAGG